GACGAACGCUGGCGGCGUGCUUAACACAUGCAAGUCGAACGAAGUGGCGAACGGGUGAGUAACGCGUAAUCAACCUGCCCUUCAGAGGGGGACAACAGUUGGAAACGACUGCUAAUACCGCAUACUGAAGGAGGGGAUUGCGUCUGAUUAGCUAGUUGGAGGGGUAACGGCCCACAAAGGCGAUGAUCAGUAGCCGGUCUGGGCAGGUGAACGGCCACAUUGGGACUUGGACACGGCCCAGGCUCCUACGGGAGGCAGCAGGUGGGAAUCUUCCACAAUGGACGAAAGUCUGACGUAGCAACGCCGCGGGAGUGAUGACGGCCUUCGGGUUGUAAAGCUCUGUUAAUCGGGACGCGGUACCGGAAUAGAAAGCCACGGCUAACUACGUGCCAGCAGCCGCGGUAAUAC
RNAcentral lists this ribosomal RNA (408 nucleotides) under uncultured bacterium. RNAcentral's name for it is "partial 16S ribosomal RNA". It matches the Rfam family "Bacterial small subunit ribosomal RNA", at positions 28 to 526 of the family's 1533-position model. The record is from RNAcentral.